RNAcentral lists this ribosomal RNA (433 nucleotides) under uncultured bacterium. RNAcentral describes it as "partial 16S ribosomal RNA". It matches the Rfam family "Bacterial small subunit ribosomal RNA", at positions 29 to 507 of the family's 1533-position model. The record is from RNAcentral.
AGCGAACGCUGGCGGCAGGCCUAACACAUGCCAGUCGAACGAACUCUUCGGAGUUAGUGGCGGACGGGUGAGUAACACGUGGGAACGUGCCUUUUGGUUCGGAAUAACUCAGGGAAACCUGUGCUAAUACCGAAUGUGCCCUUCGGGGGAAAGAUUUAUCGCCAUUAGAGCGGCCCGCGUCUGAUUAGCUAGUUGGUGAGGUAACGGCUCACCAAGGCGACGAUCAGUAGCUGGUCUGAGAGGAUGACCAGCCACACUGGGACUGAGACACGGCCCAGACUCCUACGGGAGGCAGCAGUGGGGAAUCUUGCGCAAUGGGCGAAAGCCUGACGCAGCCAUGCCGCGUGAAUGAUGAAGGUCUUAGGAUUGUAAAAUUCUUUCACCGGGGACGAUAAUGACGGUACCCGGAGAAGAAGCCCCGGCUAACUUCGUG